UCUUGAAAGCACAUGAUACAAGUAUUUGAAGCUUAAGAUGUUGAAAACGCCUUUAAAUCAAAACAUUCAUGAAAUCUUGAGCCAGAUUUUUUUAAAACAAAAUAUUCCUGAAAUCUUGAGCGGGAUUUUUGAAUUUUCACACACAUCCCAAAAAGUGAGACUUGAAGGCAAUUGGCACCACAUCGCCUCACAUUUCUCUUCUGAUUCUCUCUCCUUCCACUGCUCCUACACACCGAUUAUCCUUUGAGACCGUCUUCCCUUUUCUUCGUCAUCACCCAACUGUGAAUCCUCCCGGUAUGUCUCCUCUCUGUAUAAUCUUCUUGAAUCAUCUUUGUGUUAUUAAUUUUGAAAUAUACUUUGGUCUUAAGUGGUUCCUGCUUCUACGAUUAAUAGGGUUUUACUGUUACGUACCAAUCUAAAGUUGCAGAUCUAGGUUUUUGAAACCCAAUUUCUGCACUUAAGUUUGGAUAUUCUGAUAGCACUUCAUAAUUACACUUGAAUGAGGGUUUGGAAUCAAGAUCUACAUUUAAAGAAAAUGAGCUAGGGACAACGGUUUCAGCUCGGAACGAUCAGGCGUUAGGUUUACCUGUGGUUUCUUAGUGUGGCAAGGAGACACUCAGUAGCAUCCUUGGUUUUAAUUUUGGUACCUUAGGUGCUUUUAUUCGCUUGAGUAAAUUGGUGUCAAUGAACUGGGCUUCGGUGCUUCUAUUCGUCUCAUAAACAGUUUAUAUUUGCUUAUGCUGACUUA
Long non-coding RNA from Helianthus annuus (common sunflower), 748 nucleotides. RefSeq lists it as uncharacterized. The record is from RefSeq and is a predicted model, not a curated record. The transcript has 4 exons. NCBI's taxonomy places the organism in Eukaryota, Viridiplantae, Streptophyta, Magnoliopsida, Asterales, Asteraceae.